GGGGGGGGGGGGGGGGGGGCCGGGGGGGGGGGGGUCGGGGGAGCGGGCGGGGGGGGGGGGGGUGGGGUGUGAGCGGCGGGCGGGGGAGGAACAGGUGGGUGACGUGCCGCUCAGAGGGGGAUAACUUCGGGAAGCCGGAGCGCAUACCGGAUAAUAGUGUGAAACGCACGGUUCAAAAGUGACAGACGGUGUUGCUGUCACUUAUCGAUAGAUCCGCGCUUCAUUAGCUAGUGUGUAAGGUAACGGCGUACCAAGGCAACGAUGCAUAGCCGACCUGAGCGGGUGAUCCGCCACCCUGGAACUGAGACACGGUCCAGACUCCUACGGGAGGCAGCAGUAGGGAAUCUUCCGCAAAGUGCGAAAGCCUGACGGAGCAACGCCGCGUGAGUGAUGAAGGUCUUCGGAUCGUAAAACUCUGUUAUUAGGGAAGAACAUAUGUGUAAGUAACUGUGCACAUCUUGACGGUACCUAAUCAGAAAGCCACGGCUAACUACGUG
RNAcentral lists this ribosomal RNA (497 nucleotides) under uncultured bacterium. Its description in RNAcentral is "partial 16S ribosomal RNA". It matches the Rfam family "Bacterial small subunit ribosomal RNA", at positions 35 to 507 of the family's 1533-position model. The record is from RNAcentral.